GAUGAACGCUGGCGGCGUGCCUAAUACAUGCAAGUCGAGCGAACAGACGAGGAGCUUGCUCCUCUGACGUUAGCGGCGGACGGGUGAGUAACACGUGGAUAACCUACCUAUAAGACUGGGAUAACUUCGGGAAACCGGAGCUAAUACCGGAUAAUAUAUUGAACCGCAUGGUUCAAUAGUGAAAGACGGUUUUGCUGUCACUUAUAGAUGGAUCCGCGCCGCAUUAGCUAGUUGGUAAGGUAACGGCUUACCAAGGCAACGAUGCGUAGCCGACCUGAGAGGGUGAUCGGUCACACUGGAACUGAGACACGGUCCAGACUCCUACGGGAGGCAGCAGUAGGGAAUCUUCCGCAAUGGGCGAAAGCCUGACGGAGCAACGCCGCGUGAGUGAUGAAGGUCUUCGGAUCGUAAAACUCUGUUAUUAGGGAAGAACAAAUGUGUAAGUAACUAUGCACGUCUUGACGGUACCUAAUCAGAAAGCCACGGCUAACUACGUG
Molecule: ribosomal RNA, 497 nt
Filed under: uncultured bacterium
Lineage: Bacteria
Description: partial 16S ribosomal RNA
Rfam family: Bacterial small subunit ribosomal RNA
Source: RNAcentral